CAAACAACAUUGCAAUGUUAAAGCCAGGCCAUCAUGUGCACUCUUGUCAUUAUCAGUUUGAUAGUUUCGGACAUACUGCUUACCCAGUGGAGCGCUUUUGAAUCAGGAGAGACUGCCAAAACAUACAUUUGCAAAUACAAAAAUACUCUGAUCUAAACUAAAUGUGAUUUUUUUUAACACUCGUGAUGAAAAUGCAUUUCGUAUGUUAGAAUAUGACUCGCAUCUCUUAUUUGUGUAUUCCUUUAAAAUGGUGCCCCCAAGUGUUCAGAUUGAGAACACGUAACUAAAAUGACUUGUCUUAACAGGCUAACUAAAUUUAAGUGAAAUGUGCAGCAAGGCUCUUUAAAAAAACGUGCGGUUGGAGGUUACCAUAUCAGCAAAGACAAGCUGCGACGAAAUAUUUGUAUUUUGUACUUUUACGCGAUCUCAACAACAAUGGAGACUGACACUGCGGCUGCGCCAUGACGAAUUGACUUCUGGGUAAUGAAGUUAUUCAUCCAUUCAAGGGUCCAGUUACGGGAGCCUAUCCCAGCUGACUUUGGGCGGAAGGCAGACAACACGCCAAUGUGCGCGUGCGUCUCUGCGCGCGCGCGCGGACGGAAAGCCAAGAAUUGUGUCUUAAAUUGAUUAUAAUAAAUUCGGUAACAAUUGCAUUUAUUUAUUGACACGAACUAUUUCUACACCUCUGCCUUCCGCCACUGCUGGAGCGCGGGGCGUUGCAUGUUGUUCCUCAACCGUCCAGCAGGCGGAGACAUUAACAAUAUUCUUCAGAUCGUCUUAUUCAAGAUCAUCGAACAAACAGUAAAGUACAGCAUUUUUUUUUCUCUCACGUAGCAAGCCACCAUUCCGAAGUAACCAUGAGAAUAUAAUUGUGGGAAUGCAACUGCAAAAUAGUGUCUGUCUCUCUGGGAUCAUCAAACACCAUAAAGAUUUGUAUACACCCAUUUAGCCAUCAAAACUGGAGGGUAAUAAAUUGUCUUGAAAUUCUCUUCCACUAGAUUUGUAAUUCCUAUAAACUUAUCAACCUAUCAUACGAAAACAAGAAUCGAAACACUUCAACACGUAUGCCUUAAUCAGUCUGUCUGACAUGAGGACAAUUCACGUGCGCACUUGCAGGCCCAAAUAUCCUCCUUCCGCGCACUAUUAUUCACAGAUUUUCAAA
Molecule: long non-coding RNA, 1162 nt
Organism: Hippocampus comes (tiger tail seahorse)
Lineage: Eukaryota; Metazoa; Chordata; Actinopteri; Syngnathiformes; Syngnathidae
Exons: 2
Source: RefSeq, a predicted model, not a curated record